UACGUAGGGUGCAAGCGUUGUCCGGAAUUAUUGGGCGUAAAGAGCUCGUAGGCGGUUUGUCGCGUCUGCUGUGAAAACCCGAGGCUCAACCUCGGGCCUGCAGUGGGUACGGGCAGACUAGAGUGCGGUAGGGGAGAUUGGAAUUCCUGGUGUAGCGGUGAAAUGCGCAGAUAUCAGGAAGAACACCCGUGGCGAAGGCGGUUCUCUGGGACGGUACUGACGCUGAGACGCGAAAGCGUGGGUAGCGAACAGG
This 253-nucleotide ribosomal RNA is filed under the name uncultured bacterium. RNAcentral's name for it is "partial 16S ribosomal RNA". It matches the Rfam family "Bacterial small subunit ribosomal RNA", at positions 524 to 776 of the family's 1533-position model. The record is from RNAcentral.